UUUUUUUUUUUGUUAGCAUUAGUAUUGCUUUGAUUUUGAAUUGAACUUUAUUAGAGUUACAAAUAUCUAUUGACUAUAACCUUUCUUGGAUCAUUCAAAAUUCUAAGGGGUCGUUCGGUAUGAAGAUUCAUAACGCAUAGAUUAGUAAUGGAGGGAUUAGUAAUGCAGGGUUAUGUAGUGCAGGGAUUAGUAAUGCAGGGUUUAUUUUUAUCAAGUGUUUGAUUCAUUUUUUCCACCUCAUCUUGUGUUUGGAUUAUAGCUCUAUAAAAAAAAUUCUUUCCAAUUAUACCCUUGAAUUAUUAUGUAAUUGGAUCAAGGUAGAUAAUUGUCGAACAAUAUUAUUUUUUUAUAACCUUCUAACUAGCUAUGAGAAGAACAAUUUAGUUGUCCUGUUUGUUAUUUUUUUACUUGAAUUAUUUGAGAGUAAAUAAGUGUCAUCUUAAUAAAUUGAUCACUCACAAAAGGUUAUUUUUUAAUUAAAAAAGAUAAAUCAUCUAUUUUUAAAAUUGAAAAAAGGGUCAACAAUGGUAAAAUUGAAUAAACCAUCUAUAUGUACACAUAAAAUUGCAAGUUUUAGUUUUAAUAUGUAUGUAAAUUUUUCAAAUUGUUUAAACGGACAUGCGCACGCGCGCACCCACCCACCCACCCACAUAUACACACAUACACACACACACACAUUUUUCAUUUAUUGAGAUAGCCGCGUGAUCCCACCAGUAUAUUGUGGUUGUGUAAGAACUACACUUGCACUUAUUCUGUUGAGUACAUGACAUCUUCUGGUGGCUAUUGACAGGCAUUGUUUAGAAGAUCAGUGACCAUUUUAUUUCCAAGGGUAAGUCAAUUCUUCCGAGCUGCUUUGAGUUCUCUUUUGUUUAAAUCCACUCUUUUCGGACAGAGACUAAUUGUUCAAGGUGUGUUUAGUUUUAGAGUUGUACCUCUUGUUCUUAGACUUGUUGUUCGUAGAGUUUUGAUACAAUGACUUUCAGGUUCUAGGGGUAGUAUUUACGUAUACGUGUUAGUUCAUUUGUAUAGUUCCUUGAUAAUUUAUUUUAGUAUUUAAAACUGCUUUUGUGUCAUUAAUUGUCUCAGUUUUGGUUUAGUUGCUUAGUUUAGGUUGUAGUAGUGGUCCUCCCACCAGAUAGUUAGUGUGGGUGUUAAAUCACGACGGUUUAGAUCGUGACAAAAGAUUAGAAAAGUCAAUUUUAAAUAAAAAUAUUAUGAUGAGAAAAAAAUAUUGGGACUCCUCUCUUAAGUUUUGCUUUAAGCCCCUUAUCUUGUUGAGUCGACCCUGGUCUCUACGAGAGCAUUCUUUGGCCCUUGAUACUAGUUUAGGUCUUCUCAUGUCUCUGGAUCCCUCUUACUCCUUGCUUUCCUUUCGUGAUGCUAAUUGGACUUUGCAUAUUGAUUCCCCAGAUUCAUUAGUGGAUACUCUAUCAGAAUUAGGUGGGUCUUACACACUUAUGUUGUGGAAAUCCAAAAAAAAAAUAAGUGUCUAUUUUGUUAAGAUAUGACACCUGACCCAACUCAAGUUCAUAAGCUAUAUUUUCAUGAGGAGAAGAUUGCUCGAAUUUAUAUAAGGAGACCACUAGUCCAUUUCUCAAUAAAUGUGAGACCUUUAACCAUUCUAACACCUCAUUUCAUUCCCAUACACACGUGAUGACAUAUGGAUCGAGAGCUCAAACGAGGAUGAACCUGACUCUGAUAUCAUAUAAAAAUAUGGCACAUGGGCCUAACUCAACCCAAAUAGCAAGCUCAUGAAGCGGGAAGUUUUCCAUUUUGUAUAAGGAGACCUAUAAUGACCUAGUUGGUCAUUUUUGGGUUCAUAAAUUAUCAUUCUGCCCCUCUCGAUAUUGACUCCGAGUUAAUUUUAAUUGAGUUUUGAAUGAUAGUUUCAAACUUUGAGAAAAAAGUUGUGAAUUUUUUUAAGUUUUGAACUUGAACGACUAAAGUUGUUAAAAAUAAUUUUUGGUGUAUUUUGGAGUUUCGAGUAUCGAAAUAAAAUUUUGUCAAUGCCAUCAGUCUUGAAAUGUGAAAUUGGUCUAAGAGAGUUGUUGGUUUCAUAUUCGGAGUCUUUUAAGGAUUUGAGGUCCUAAAUUGAAAUUUUGUGAAAAUUUAAUCUUUGGAUUGACUUCGAUUUGCGUUCAAGGUUUGGAUGCACAGAUCAAAAUUUCGAGAGUUCCGUUUGAUUCGAGGAAUAAUGUUAGGUCUAAGUGAGGUCUUGAUUGAAUUUUCAGAGGUUCUAGACCUUAUUUGACCUUUUUAGGCGUUAUAUUAAUUCUUUGUGGCUUUCACAAGUUUCGAAUCAAAGAUACCUCAAAUUCCUUCUUUGAUGGUUCAUCAAGUCUGGAACGCCGGGUAUAGUCAAUUUGCAUAUAUUAUUUGUGUGUACUGAAUUACGAAUCUUUAGGAUCUUUUCGAUUAUUUUUGUGUUGGCUGAUUUGCUAAGGUUUGAUAUUAACUACCCCUCGCUAUUGCGAUAGGAUGUUCGCUUUCACGAACCUCGCGAUUGAGAAAUUCUGAUCGUGAAAGCGAGAUAGGUGGAAUUCCAGACCUUCGAUCGCAAAGGGCUUGUUCACGAUUGCUAUCUUCGUGAAUGUGAAGGCUCUGCAAAGGCGAAGGCCGAGUUGGAAAGAAAAUUCAAAUAGUUUUAUUUGAUAGGUUAUGAGUCACGUAACUAUUUAAAUUCAAAGACAAAUGGCCGUUUGAAGUUAACCCAAGUAGAAUCUUAAAUCUAAAGUUAAUUGGUAGGUAUGCUUUUAACUUAACUCAACUUUGUGCUAAGGAAUUCUAUUGACCUUAAUUCAUAUCAAAAUUCAUUUUCACACUAAAGAAUUGAGUUUUACAUAUGUUGACAAAUUUAAGAAACACCCAAUACGAUUUUAAAUGUAAAUGAAGAAAAGUUCGAGUCUUAGAAUUUUGGGUUGACGUAUCAAUAUUAACAAGGUUACAAAGGAAGAAAUACAUAGAAGUUUAUCUUUGUCUGUUCCUUACAACUUGGGUCGGGUUCAUGUUAUUCCAGUAUUGGACUUGGUCAAGUUUAUUCUCAAAUAGUCCACACAAAACAAAGCAACUAUUGAAGAAGUGUCCCAAACAAUGAGUUAAUACCUCAGAUGGUCACUCAACUAUGCAGUAUUCUCUCAGAAAGUCAUUCAAUUUUCAAUUUUCACUCAAAAGUCACUCAACUAUGCACUUCUUUCUCAGAAAGUCACUCAAUUUUGAAUUUUAACUCAAAAAUCACUCAAUCUAUUAAAUUAUUUUUUAAUUGAAAUUUGUUGAUAUUAAUUAUUUAUAUAACAAAUCAAAAAUCUUAAAAAAUAAAUUAAACCAUUUAGUGAUCCAUCAACCAAACCCGACCCAUUAAAAAAUAUGAUAUGACCCAUUUCAUUGUCUUUGAUCCUAAAUUAAUCCCUCUCUUUAAACCUUGAAUUAGGAUUAAAGACAAAAUAAAAUGGGUCAUAUCAUAUUUCUUAAUGGGUCGGGUUAGGUGGAUGGAUCACUAAAUGGUUUAAAUUGUAUUUUUAUUUUUUUAAAAUUUUGGUUUGUUAUAUAAAUAAUUAAUAUCAAUAAAUUUUAAUUAUAAAAACAAUUUAAUAGAUUGAGUGACUUUUUUAGGAAAGAGUGGAUAGUUGAGUGAUUUUGAGUUAAAAUUCAAAGUUAAGUGAUUUUCUAAGAAAGAAGUGCAUAGUUGAGUGACUUUUGAGUGAAAAUUAAAAAUUGAGUGACUUUCUGAGACAAGAGUGCAUAGUUGAGUGACUAUCUGAGGUAUUAACUCUCCAAACAAUUUGACCGCAACCUUUUGGCUAUAUAAUUUUGGUUUUAUAACUAUAUGUUUAAGAGUCAAAAGUUGGUAGUGGUAUCUAAUCAAAGAGGACAACUUGGUAAUGAUGAAAGACGUCAGCAUGAAAUUAGAUAUUACAAUUGAUAAAAAAGAGUUGUUGCAACUAGGCUAAAUAUUUGGGUGCAUGUACGAUGUUGUAUUCUUUUAUGUCAUCACCCUCCUAGUUGUUUCAAUUGCAUCACCUCCUAAAUAUUCUUAUUUUUUUUAUUGUAUUUAUAUACUUAUUAUAUAAAUUCAACCCCAAAAUUAUUGAUUGCUAAUGAAUCACAAACGUUUCUCAUUAAAGUAUUUGGAAAUAUUUAGAAAAACUCAGAUAGAGAAAUACGAGUUAAAUUAAAGUAUCAUAAGAUUGAGGAAUAUUAUUAAAUUAUUCAAUUUCUCUUGGUUCAUGUAUGAAGUUUGUUAGCCAACUUGCCUCUUAGCACUCAAUUGAAUUUGAACAAGUGUUUAAAGAUGGACAACUUUCACAUAUAGCAAACAAAAAAAUUAUAUUUGUAUAAUAUAGCAAACUUUGCAUAAUUGCGCUCCAUAGCAAACAUAAAAACUGUAUAAUUUGCUAUACAUAUAAAAGUGUAUAAUUCGCUGGCCUAUUUCGCUGCAAUUGUAUAAUUAGCUUGGCAUACAGUAGAAUCGAAUUAAAAUGUAUGUAUAUUACAUAAUUAUAAGUGUAUAGCAAGAAGAUAUAUGUUUUUCUCGCUUUAUACAAAAACAUAAACACAAUAUAUACACUUUUGUUGUAUAAAGCUAGAAAAAAAUUAUAUUUCACUGCAAUUGUAUAAUUCUUUGGCCUUUUUCUCUGCAAUAUUUGAAGUAAAAUGUUUGUAAAUUAUAUAAUUAAGUGUAUAACACGAAGAUAUACAUUUUUGCAUGUGUAUAUACAAUUUUCUCUCGCUUUAUACAAAACAGAAACAGAAAUUAUACACUUCUGUGUAUAAAGCGAGAGAGGCGAGAAUGGGAGAGUGGCGAGCGAGACUUCUGGGAGAGAGACGCCUGGCAAAUUUUUGCCAACGUUUGCUAUGGAGCACAAUUAAAUCAAACCCUAGCUAUUCCAUUUAAUUUAGGUUAUUAGUUUGCUAUUUUAUACAAUUUUCCCUUUAAAGAUAGUACAGGUUAAAAUAACUAAAUAAUAAAAUCGCAAGGAACUUAUUUGUAAGAAAUAAAAAGUAGACAGGUAGUUAAACAAUAUAUAUUGAAAUAUCAAAUACAAUAGCCCUCAGCUGCGAAGGAAGUAAUAUAUUUUUUAGAAAAUUUAGUUAACUAGUCAAAAAAAUUAACUUAUUUAGUGAUAAUAUUCAUAAUUUAAUAAUAUUAGUAAACAUGUCAAAAAUGUCAUUAUUUUAAAAAUAAAUAAUAAUUCUGAUAUUAUUAAUAUUUUCUCUCUCAUUAUUUACACCUUUUUUUCUCUCUCAUAGAUUACACAUUUUCCUAUAUUUAUGUAAUUGGAUAGAUAUUAAUGUCAUUUUAAUUUUUCUCUCUUUUCUUAAGCUUAUCAAUUACUCUCUUUUACUUUCUUCCUAAUCAAAUCUCCAGAUUUUUCUCUCUUUUCUUACGCUUCUUUUCAAUUUCUCCCUCUAACAUUCUUUCAAAUCAAUUCCACAGAUUUUCGAUUCAAUAUAUUAAUAUUUUCUAUUAUUCUCAUUUAAUUUCAUUGCAAGAUUUGAUUUGAAGAUUAACAUUGAUUUGGAUAGUAUGUUUUUCAGAUUACUUAUUUAUUUACUUACUGAUUUUAGUGUUUUUUUUAAAUUUUUUUUAAUUUUGUUGUUGUUCUUAAAACAUUUUUUAGGGUUUGAGACUACAUAAUUCUCUCUUCAAUGGACGUUUUCAAGAGAGUUACUAAAGGUAUUGGACAAAGUAAUCAAAGUUCUUUCGAUUUUUCAUCAUUUAAUUUUUUUUUCACUCAAGAAUUAAACAACAAUAUGGGUUCCACUUCUAAAUAUAAGGAGGAUAUACGACGGGAAAAAAUGUCUGAAUCCAUCGAUGUGCAAAAUCACACACAAAUUCAUAACCAUGAAGUUGAAGAAAACCAAUUUGUUGGAGAAGAGGUAUUUUUUUGUAUGUUCUGUGUCUUGCAUGUUUAGUUUAAUUUGUUUAGUAAUUUUUAAGAUUAAAAAAAUUCAUGUUACAAUGUGUUUGGAAGUGUAUAUGAAAUUUUUAUUAUGUUAUAGUUAGUAUUUAUUUUUGUAUUUCAUAUAUUUACUGUAUUUUAUGUUCUGUUUUUUUUGUGUGUUAGUUAUGUCAAUGUAACACAUUAUAUGAGUUUGACUGUGUAUAUUUCAUAGUUUUAUGGUUUUUUGUAUUCAUAGAUUUGAAAAUGUAUAUUGAAUUUUGUUGAUGCUUUAGUCGGUAUGUAUUUUUGUAUUUCAUGUUUUAUUGUAUUUUCAUAGAUUUGAAAUUGUAUUUCAUAUAUUUAAUUAAUUUUGUAUUAUUAUUUUUUUGUGAUAGUUAUGUCAAUGUACCACAGUUAGUAUUUAUUUUUGUAUUUCAUAGUUUUAUUGUUUUUUAUAUUCAUAAAUUUGAAAGUAUAUAUUGAAUUUUGAUACUGUUUUAGUUGGUAUGUAUUUUUACAAUUAAUAAUUAUAUUCAUUCAAAAAUUAUGUUGCAUUGUUUCUGAAUUUGACAUUUUUUUCUAAUUUGUAUUUGUUCUAAAGAUAUGUCAACUAGUUAUGUAUUUUAUUUAAGAAUGAUUACACCAAAUAUUCAAUUAUUUCUUUUCAAUUUUAUAUUCAUUCACUUUUUCAUCACACUAUUUUUUGUAUUUUAUAUAUUAUUAUACAAAAUUCUAAAUAAAAACUAGAAUAAAUAGAAAUACAAAUAAAAUACAUAUUGAAAUGAAUACAUACAAAUUUUUGAAGAAAAAAAUAACUAUAUAGGGAAAAAAAUAUAUGAAUACAAAUAUAUUUCUUAAAUGACUAUAUAGAUACAUUCGGCAUAUCUAUUGGAAUGAAUACAAACUAAUAAAAUAAUAAUAAUAAAUAAAUAUAAAUAGAAUAUAUUGUGGAAUGACUAUAAUUUUAAAAAAGUAAAAAUUCUGGAGACAAAAAAAGAACAAAGUUUAUAUUUUAUUUGAAAAUGUAAUUGAUGAAAAAAUUAAGUGAUCCUUAACUUUUUUGAAAUAUUUUCUCUCUUGAUUUUCUCCCUUUUGUUAUUAGAUAAUUAUAUUCUUUAAAUUAAAACAAAUAACAAAAACAUAAAUUAGAUAUAUAAUAAACUAAAAUUUGAUAUUUUUAUUAAAUAUUAAAAGUGAUGCUAAUGAGCCCUCUUAAAUAUUAAAAUAUUUACAUUUCAAAAAAUUUCCCAUAAUUUUUUCUAUAAUAAGUGGCUAACUGCAAAAUAAUACACCAAUUGGUAUAUCAAAUUAUACUACAAGAUUUAAAAUACAAACAACACAUUAUAUAAAGUAAAGUCAUAUUUCUACAAUCAUAGCAUAGACAAUGUUUUUUUUUUAAUUCAUAUAAAAUUUGGUUUAUAAAACAUUUGUAUUAAGCAAUAUCAUUUAUGAGGCAUCAUGUCAAUUGAAAAUUUAAUAUUCUCUAGGUUCCUAAUUAUUUGUUCACUUUUUUUGUGUAGUUAUUCUUAAGUAUUUGUCCAUUCUGACAAAUCAAAAAAAGAUUAAAAAAAUUACAUAUUAUAUUCUUAAUUAAUUACUUUGAAAAGGGUAGAACUUCUUGCAAUCUUAAAUUUUUAAUUCAUUCAUUUCAUAAUUAAUAUGGAUAAAAUGGUAAACUCAUUGUAUCAAUCACUGUUCUCUUAAUAGGUGUGUUAAUUCAAAAGUGGACAAAUAAUUAGGAGCCUAAAUCAAUCCAUCACAAAUUAAUAAGGAGACAGUGAGUUAUAUGAUUAAGGAUGAAGCCGCAGGGUCAUCUUAACUCCUAGAUCAUUAAAGUCAUCACUUGGGGUCUCAUAUUUUUUUUGGGUCCCAUUAUUUCAAAACAUUGUUGGUAUUUUAUAAACAGAAAUGAUAUGUACUAUGAGUAUCAUGAUUUCUACUACGGAAAUUGUAUAUGAGAUGAAUAUAGAAACUGAAUUUUGUAAGAAAUAAUUUGACGAAGAUAUUGAUUAGGUAAAAUCACAAAGUCCCUUCAAGAAUCUUUUAAAGUUUAUAUAUAUAUAUAUAUAUAUAUAUUAUUUUUUUGAACUAAAAGUGUCGAUAGAAAUAAUACAAAUAAAAGAUAAUGAUCUAAUGAAAAUACUCAAUCAAAUAAAAAGACUUGAUACUUUUCCAUAUAGACAUAUUUGCUUAUAUAAUAAUGUUGACAGUUCCUAUAACUGUUGCCUCAGUCGAAAGAAAAUUUUCAAAAAUAAAGCUGAUUAAAUCUUAUUUCAUAUCAACAAUUUGUCAAGAGAGAUUGAAAGGGUUAACUAUAUUAUCAAUUGAAAAAGAAUUACUAAAACAAAACGAUUAUAAAACAAUAAUUAAUGACUUUGCAUCUACAAAUCUAGAAAAAUAGAUUUUAAAUAAAAGUAUGUAUGAAUAGUAUUAUGAAAAAAAAUAUUAGGACCCUUCUCUUAGGCCUCCAAUCUUUUCGAGUAAGUCCUAGAUGAAGGAGUACUUAUUAAUCCACCACAAUCCUUGUUGAUAUAGUUAAGAUUAUUGCAUACAAAUAAUGACUAAAAUAUUUCUUCAUUAUUACAUAUUGUUACUUUUAUGAAAUCACUAGGGGUGUACAUAACCAGAUUAGCUUGGAUUUUUCAAAUAUUAAAUCAAAUUAUUUGUAUCGAAUUUUUAAAUUUACAAAUCAAACAAACCAAUAAAACUCGAGUUUUUCAACUUCGGAUUUUUUCGAGUUUCUUCGGAUUUUUUGAAUUUUCGGGUUUUUUCGAUAAAGUAUUCAUACAAACAUAUAAUUUACUUGUAGUUCAAACAUUUCUUUACUCCUACUAAAAUGCAACUAUCUAAGUUAUUUCUCAAGAAAGUAACACAAAAUAUGAUAUGAUUAAUGAUACUAAAAUAUCCAACGAAAAAAUAAAUAAUAAAAUCGCGUAAAACAAAUAUUGCAAAUUAAUAAGUCAUUGUGAAAUUGAUCAUAAUUUAAAGUACUAAAUUAUGCUAAAAUAAGUUUAGUAAGUAUUAGUUACAUGACUAAAUAUUAAAAGAAAGUAAAAUUAGAUCAUAUAUUUUAAUUGUCUAAAUCUAUGUAAACUAAAAAACAAAUAUUCAAUAUUAAUGUCAUUCUUAGUGUUGAAUUGAUUUUCUUUUUGCAUUAAUAUUAAUUUGAUUUUUAUUUAAACUUUAUUAUAAUUACCAACAUGUAUGGACUAUAAUCUUUAUUAGAUCAUUAAGAAUUUUAACUUCCAAACAUGAAAUAAAUAUAUUAAAAGAUAAAAACUAUGAAAAAGUAUAAGAGAUAUUUAAAAAUUAUAUCAAAGUAAGUAUUUUUACGUUUAAAAUAAAAAUUUAAAAUUAUAUAUAUAUAUAUAUAUAUAUAUAUAUAUAUUGUCGGGUUGGUUUGAUUUCGGGUUGGUUAUUUUUAGUUGAAACCAAACCAAUCCAAAUAAAGCCAAAUUUUUUCAACACUAAACCUAGUCAAAUCAAACCACUACUCGAAUUUUUUCGAUUUAACUAAAUUUGCGAUUUAAUUCGAUUUUUGGGUCGAUUUUCUACACCCUAAAUGUUAUCAUUAAUGAUUGUCCUACUCUAUUUGUCCUAAUUUAUUUGUCAUUUUAAAAAAUUUUAAGAUUCAAAUUAUGUUACUUUUGAAAAAUAUCUUGUAACAUUUUUUUUUUAACUGUCAAUAUAAAAAAAAAUUGCAACUUAUGAUUCUUUUUUCAAUGAUUUUUAUAAUUAAUUUCAAUUUUAAAGAUUAUGUUAAUCUAAUUUGAUUUAGAUUUAAAAUUUAAUAAAAUUGACUCUCGAUAAAUUGAAGGUAUCACACAAAUUAACGUAUUUGUGUUUGUUUAUCUAAUUAUUAAUAAUAGAGAUGAUUUAUUCAAGAAAACUAUAACUUUUCUAACGAGGAAUGAAAUGAGAUUAUCAAUUAUAAAAACAACUUUCCCAUGUAAUUGUAAAAAAAAAAAAAAAAGGAAUCAAAAAGGUCCGAAAGAGAAUGAACAAAAAUUUAGUGAGGUACUUUACAAAUUACUGAACAGUUAUAUUUAAUCAUGAUUACUUAAAAGACACUAUAAAAAUGCAUAAUAAGAUUUGGGAGCAGUAAGUAAGGAAAGAGAUUUACAUGAUAUUUGAGGGUUACGUUGAAUUACAAUUCAUUAUUUAGUUUAUCUUAAUUCAUUUUAUCUUCAGACAGAAUUGAGAAUUAGUCAAUUUAUUUCUUUAGUUCAUUUUUAUCUUUUCAAAUUAUCUAUUCGUGUGAAAAAAAUUAGAAUUUUGAACUUUUUUUUUAUUUCUUUCCAAUAAAAUACCAUUGAAUUUAAGUUUUUCUUCCCAUUUUUGGAACUAUUGACGAACUUCUCUCAUUGUGAGAAAAUUAUGAAAAUAAUUCAGCAAAAUAUAUUACUAAAAAACAACGCAUUGUUUAUGAGUGAAAAUCAUUUACAUCCUUCGAUUUAACUUCUUUUUUUUUUAAAAAAAAAAACUCCUUAAUUAUGAACAAUGAAACAAUCUCCCCCUUUAAUUAUGAACAAUAGAUAUCCCCUCCCUCUUUCUAACGUGUGUCUAAGAAGCCAUUUACGAAUAUAUGAGUAAUAAUGUCUUGAAACGCAGCCUACAAAAGUCUAAAACAUAGUAAAUGACAUAAAGAUAACAUAAGGGUGUUGUCCUCGAAUGCUAUGAGGACUCAUCAAUCUUCAAUCUUCUCCAAACUUAGGAACCUAGCCUACAAACACUCAAUCUCCCAAAAAACCCUACAUUUGGUUAGAAAUGUAGGCAAUAUGCGUACAAACACUCAAUCUUCCAAAAAACCCUACAUUUGGUUAGAAAUGUAGGCAAUAUGCGUUAGUACAAAAGUACUAAGUAAGAAAGCUAAUAUAUAAAACAUAAUAUAUCUCGAAGGGUUGGUCAAUAUAAGGCAUAAUCAUUAGAGAUAAUAACAUAAUCACAAGAUAAUUACGACAUACGCAUUCUAACAUAGUAAUUCAACUUAAGACAUACAUAGGUUCAUACUUCAACUAUUUGUCCUUCUUACUCAAGUGAACUACAUCACAAGCCACCUCUAAGUAUACUUGUGCAAGUCCAAGGUGGCAUCCCAUACUACUACCUAAGCUAAGUACCUCUCUUUGGUCAUUCUUGAUCAUAAUCCACUUGUAUAAUUAAUACCUAUGUCUCUAUACGGAGGCAUGCCAUACAAAUCAUUUGAAAAAACUUCAUUGAAUAUGGACACCACCGUAAUAGACCCAAUAGAUGGAGUUUCAAUCUCAACAUCCCUUACAUGAGCCAAAUAAGUUGAACAACCUUGCUCUUUUAAUUUCCUAGCUCGGAUGGAGAAUAUAAUCUUAGCUUGUUUAGGUUGUGCACCCCUUUCCACUCUAAUUUUUUCCUUCCCAAAAUUUCUAGAGUCUCAUAUUUAGUAUUUACAAUUAAAAACAACAUAAUGGGGACACAACCAAGUCAUGCCUAAGAUUAUGUCGAAGUGCUCCAUAUCAAAAAUCACCAAAUCAGCCCAAGUCUGAAAUCCCAUAAACAAAUUAGGGCAAACACAAUACACAUGUGUGACUAUGACUGACUCGCUAACAGAGGUAGAAAUACGUAUAGGGUCAUUAAUAAUAUCACCUAACAUCUCAAAAUUAGAGGCAAAUCUCACAGACACAUAAGAAUAGGUGGAAUCUGAAUCAAAUAAUACAUUAGCCAUUCGAUCCCAGACAAUAAUAGUACCUGUGAUCACUUCAUUAGACAUCUCUACCUCGUUCUUUCCCAAAAAGGCACAACAUUGAGCUCUAUCAUCAACAGGAGUCACCUCAUUGCCUAGUUGCGUGUUACCUCUACCUCCUUUAUCAUUUUCUCUACUUCCACGUCCUCUCAGAUUUCCUCCAUGUCCUACUUGUGGACGUCCCCUGCCAUUAUUAUCAUUUCUCGUGGGUACAAUUGCUCGAGAAGGUUGUUGUACAGAUUCAAGCAAACACGCUUGUGGGCAAUUCUUCAUCAUGUGUCCCAGUUCCCCACAUCUAAAUCAAGUGCGGCCGCCAGAUGGUUUGCUGCCUGCCAUAUGCUCAACACUCUGAUCAACUUAAAAAUUAUUAGAAUGAGUCCUCAAAUAGUUACCAAAAGAGGGGCAUGGCAGAUUAAAUUGGCUUGGAUGCGAAUGUAGGUCGACCGAAUCAUCUACCAUAGGAGCCUUGAAUAUUUCCAGAAUUCUUGGUCCUCUUAGCCAAUGCCUUAUCUUGACUAGAUCGUUUCACCCCCUCCGCCUUCUUAACAUAAUCAGUCAUUUCAGUGAAGCUCCUUCUCACAAAAGUUAUGUGAACGGAUGACACUUGUAGCUCAGAAUCCAAACCUUUAAUAAACAACCAGAUCCUAUCAUCUUCAGUGGUAACCAAUUGUGUAGCAUAUCUAGAUAAAGCAUGGAACUUGGCUUCAUAUGCAGCCACAUAUAUUUAAUCCUGUUCUAAUGUCAUAAACUCAUCCUUCUUGCAAUCUCUCAAAGUUCUAGCUAGGCACAUACUUCUCUAAAAGAAAGGGCAUGAAAUUUGGUCCAAGUAACUAGAGGUAAUGUAGAUGCUCAGCAUUACAUAUAAGCUCUCCACCAUUGAUUGGCUUCACCUUGAAGUUGAAAUGACACGAACUCAACCCAUGUUGGUGAGUGAUACCCAAGUAAUGAAACCUCUCAUAACAAUCCAAUAUGAACUCAUAAGCAUCUUCUGUCUCAGAACCAAAAAAUAUCGGGGGCUUGAGCUUCAAAAACUUGGUCAACAUAUCAUGCUCCUUACCGAUCAUCACAGAACCUAACAAAUGAUGGAAGAAAGCAUCAUUACCUACCUCGCCAACUGGCUUGGGCACAACGUUAGCAACAUGAUGAUUCGCUUGGACUUGAGUAGGUGUAAUCAUCUCCGAACCAUCCAACCCUUUCAAAAAUGACAUAAUUUGUUGAGCUUACGCCAGAUCAAUGGGAGGGAUUCAUGUAACUUCAGCGUGCCCUUCUUCCUCGUUUUCAACCUCCUCGACAUUCUCAAACUCAACUUCCUCUUCUAUCUCUUCGUUAUGUACCAGAGGGUUCUCAUUUACCGAAUAUAAUCGUUUGGCACCUCAUUCACAAUAGGCGCCACUCUCCCACGACCUCUUCUCUUAACUCUUUCUCUACCUCUGCCUCGACUGCGAGCUCUCAUUGCGGGUUCCUCAGUUGGAGAAUUAGAAGAAGCUACAUGACUAACGUUGUUAUACCUAGUAUUAACCAUUUGUGAUAGAAUAGUGAAGGAAUUUAUAUACUAAUCUGAAUCGCUAGAUACCAAUUGGAAUGUCAUAGAAAGAAAGAGAUAAAGAGAAAAUGGAGAUUUUGUAAAGUCCUAUAGCCUCUUCAAGAAAAGUAAAGGAGUCCUCGUACCGUUCUACAAGUCUCUAUUAGACUCGUUUCUGUACAUCGAGAUCAAAACCUAGGCUCUGAUACAACCUUUUUCACGACCCACAUCAUCGUGAUUGACAUCCAGACUACAACUCGGUGGGAGAACCACUACUAACAACCAACCAAAGCAAUAAAUCUAAAACUAAAGCACUUAAGUUACGGAAGUAAGUUAAAUAACUAAGCUAAGUUUCAUUAUUAUUUAAAGAUCUAACAACUAAUAAUAGUGCGGAAGAUAAACCUAGAAUCUAAAAGUUAAUGUACCAAAACUAGAAAUGAGAUUCAAAUCUAACAACAAUUUCUAGUGAACUAUCUAACUAACUAAAAGAAGGUCUAGUCCGAAAAUGGUGGACAUAGACUAAAGAGAAUUUCAUGGCAGCUCGAACGAUGUGGCUCACCCUUUAACUCGAAUCGAUCAUCGAUAUUCUAAGCGAGGCUGUCAAUAGUCGCGUGAAGAUGACCUGUACUCAACAAAAAUAAGAGCAAGUGCUGAAUAAAUAUACAACCACUGUGUAUUGGUAGGAUCACGCGGCUAUCCCACUAGUGUAACAUAAACAGACAAUUACAACAUUAUAACACAUGCAUAAAUAUUAAUAUUCAAUACUAUCAUAUGAAUCAACAUCAUAAUUCACAUGCUUCAUCACAUAGUUGGUCCUCUCACGUAACCCAAAGUCAAACGGUUAGCAUGCCGGAAUUGACAAUCCAAUCCAAUUUCUUAUGUUGAAACAUGUCAACCGAUCCCAAUUAUCAUGUCAGAACGUGGAAGUUCGAAUCCAGUUAGCAUGCCAGAACGUGGCAGGCGAUCCCAAUCACGCAUCAAAAUAAUACAUCAAGAUCACCCAUUCAAUCAUGAUUUCAUAGUAUCGAUAUUUAUAUAUCUUCUUUCAACAUCUAUGAGCAAUAUUGUGAUAUGCAUACAUAUACAAGUAUCACAACGAAAAAUAAGUGUAUAUUAUACAAUCAUAUAAUCACAAUCAUCACUUACCUCGAAAUAAUCUUGAAACCCUACACAACUUAAUCCUUCCCUUUUCGGAUUCGUUCCUCUUGUUUGUGGUCUACAACUAACAAUUUAUAUACGGGAGUCAAUAAAGAAACACUAAAUUCCCAGAAUACUAACAAACUAUGAGCCCUAGUUCAAAUCCAUGAUCCCAACUAGUCAAUUUAGGGUUAAUUCCACCAUAGGAUUCUUCAAGAAAUACUUCGUCAUCUAUAUUGACCCACUCUAAAACAUUUUACGAAUCGAAAGACUAAUUUAGAGGGUGAAAAACUUACCUCUAGCUCGAAGAAUGGUGAAAAACGAGUUGGAAAAGCCCAGAGAUGGUCGUCUAAGGAUUUUAUUUAUGAUUUUAAAACCUGUCAUCCCGCUACAGCGACACCCAUCCCACUGUAGCGGCGUCGCUACAACAACACCAAUUCCGCUGCAGCAACACUUUUUGAACCAAGAGCUCCGUCUUGAAAAUUUUCAAAACUCCUAUAAAUCAAUCUCCGCCUCAUCCGCUACAGCGAUAUCCACCCCGAUAUAGCGGCAACGCUGCAAUGGAAAGAAUCUCGCUGCAGCGGCACAAAGCGAGUUAUUGAGCUCCUAAGGGAUUUUCAAUUUCCGUUUUUCAUAACAUAAUCUUAACCCACCAAACUCAGAAAGUACCCUUAAUGUUACGAUCGAUUCCCAGAGGUCUAUUCGAUUUCUCAAAGUUGUACGGAUCCCCUAUCGAGUUAUCUAGCCGAUUAUGUAAUCGAAUUCCUAUUUACUCCACCAUAAUGCUAGCAGAUUUCCCUAAACCUUGAUACUCCAAUUUCUUCCAAAUCUAGACAAGGUUAGAAAAAAAUCUAGUACUACGAAAAAGUUUAUCCGACUUCGAUCCCCCCCCCCCUCCAAUUAACAUUUCUAUAACGAUGAAACGUGAUUGUUAUACUCCAAUUAAUCAGCAUUUCUCACUUUUAUUUUUGACAAAAUUUAUAUUUUUAUAGAAUUUUUAAAAACAUAUUAUUAAAUAAUAAAAAUACUAUGAUUAGAAAGUAUUAUAACAAUAAAGAUAGAUCUUGAUAAUACAAAGGUGAAAUUAAUAUUUGGAAAAUUAAUUAUGCAAGAAAGGGAAAAAUGAUUAUUUCUUAAAAUUGAGAAGAGUUUAAUUUUUAAAAGUAAAAUUCAGUUAAUGUUAUAAAAAAAUUGUAUUAUAGUGAAUGUCUAAUUAUGUGGAGUCCUUUUAGGAUAUGUUAGAAAUCCUACUUGGGGAUAAAGUUAGGUUUCCCCUAUAAAUAAAGGGGUUUUCGUUCAUUGUAAAGAAGAUCCAUGAAUCCUGAAUAUACUUCUAGAUGAAUAAGAAGUCUUUUCUCUUCUUCCUACUUUAUUCUUCUUCUAAAUUUAUAUAGUUUCAUAACACAUUAUCAACACGAUUGUUCUAUUCUUAAAGAAUUAUGAUAGAAGACAGGAAAAGUGCAAAAGAGAUCUAGCAUAAGUUAUGAAAUAAGGUUCUUAAAUAUUCAAGGUGUGAUUUAUCUAUAUGUUAUAAUUAUUUAUGUGACAGAUCGGAGUUACCAUCUGGAGUAAGUAUUUAAAGAGACUUGUGGACUUUUUAUACGUUUAAUUUUAAUCGAUUGGAAAGAGAAUUCCUUAAUUUAUUUUCAUAACUAAAUAAACACAAUUAGUGAAAGGUAGGCUUUCAAUCUUUAUGUGAGGUAUGUGAUCUAUUAAGUUAUAUUUAUUAAAUACUAAUGUUGAUUAAUAAUAAAUCAAUAAUCUCAAUUUUGUGUGUAAUUAUAAUAUACGAUCAUAUUAAUGAUCAUCAAAAGUGAUAAAAUUACAAUUAUUUUGAAGACUUGAGGUUGAGCCUCAUUGUGGGUAAGACGGUGAAUAAGUUUUAUUGCACCAAAAGAAUAAGACGAUGGAUUUACGUUCAAUCGCACCAAGAGGGUAAGACAUUGACUUAAAGUCUUGAUGCACCACAAUGAGAAGCUAUUGGGUUCAAAUUCUAUCGAUAUAUUUAUGGCCUAAGACAUUUUUUGUAUGGAUAAAACAUUGAAUUUGAGUCUUAAUGCACCAUAUUGAUGAUAUAAUAAUGACUAAAGAAAAACUAAUGUCUUUUUUAUGAGAAGUCAUGAAAUUUACUGAAUUUGCUCCAUUACUAAAGCGAAUGUGGUAGUAGUGCAUAUAUGUCUAAAAGAAGUCAAGUGACUGAAUAAUGCACAUAAAUAUGGAGUGAGGUACUAAAACUAUCAUAAAUUGAUAUGCUCACAUUUUUGUGUUCCAUUCAUAAAGAAUGAGAACUUUUGAUAAAUGUUAAAGAUAUAGAUUCAUUUUCUAAAGUGAACGAGGUGUAAGCCAAUUGAGGCACAUUCUAUACUAAUUACAAUACUGUCUUACUUUUACAUGAUUGUAUGGGACAUCAUAAGGCAAAUUAUACAUAAUUAAAAUGAACAUUCAUUAAAGAAUUUAAAUAUUCUUUUUAAUGGUGAAUUUUCUUAUAUUGUUUGUUAUCAAGGCAAGUUGAUUGUGAGACCAUCAUCAGUGAAAAUUGUGAUUGAAUCCCAUGCGUUCUUGGAACUAUACAUAGGGAUAUUUAUGGACUUAUUCACUUACCUAGUGGGUUGUUUAGAUACAUCAUGGUCCUAACAGAUGAUCCUUCUAUAUGGUCUCAUAUGUGCCUAUUGUCAUUUUGCAAUUUGGGGUUUGCAAAAUUAUUGGCACAAAUAAUAUAAUUACAUGCACAAUUUUUCGAUAAUCAGAGUAGUUCAUUCAGUGAUGGAGUCACGACUCACCUCUAGAAGGGGUAGAAUUAAUGAGAAGAAAAAAUCUAAAAAUUACUCUCGGAGUAAUAAAAUUAAAAUAUACUCAUAUAAUAGUAACUUAGAAAUUUACUAAAGCAAAAAGACACAUGACAUAGUAAAACUUGGAGUUUACGAGUACUAAUAAUUAUUAGUUGGCAUGAAUAAUUUGGUCAUCCCAAAAAUGUGCAUACUGAGUAAUAGACAUACAUUGAAGAAUUAGGAGAUUCUUCAAGAAUUCUUUUUGUUGCUUGUUCUCAUGAAAAGUUGAUAGGAUCAACUAAUGUUGGGACUAAAUCCCUAAAUUCUGGAAAGUAUAAAGAUGAAUAUGGGCUUAUUCACCUAUUAUGUGAUAUGAUAAAGAGAUACUAUGACGGCACUCAUCUCGCUGUAGCAGUGUCAAUGCAGCGACACCUUUUGAACCAAUGAGCUAUGUCUUGAAAAAUUCCAAAAAUCCUAUAAUUCAAUCUUCGCCUCGUUCGCUACAGCGACACCAAUCCUGAUGUAGCAGCGUCACUGCAGCGACACGAAGCAAGGCAGUAAGCUCCUGAGGAAUUUUCAGUUUCCAUUUUUCACAACAUACUCUUAGCCCAUUAUGCUAGAAAGUACCUUUAACGUUACAGUCAAUUUCCGGAGGUUUAUUUAUCCAAAUUCAAUUUCGUAAAGUCGUACGAAUUUCCUAUCGAGUUAUCUAAUAGAUUAUGUAAUCAAAUUCCUAUUUACUCCACCCUAUUGCUAUCAAAUUUCCCUACACCUUGAUGAGUUUAAUUUCCUCCAAAUCUGAACAAGAUUGGAAAAAUUCUAGUACCACGAAAAAGUUUUUCCGAGCUCGAUUUUCUCCCAUUUACAUUUUUAUAACGACAAAAACCAAUCUUUAUAGUCCAAUUAAUCGGCAUUUCUCACUUUUCCUUUUAACAAAAUUUAUAUGUUUUAUAGAAUUUUUAAAAAUAUAUUAUUAAAUCACAAAAAUACUAUGAUAUGAUUUUAGAAAGUAUUAUAACAAUAAAGAUAGAUGCUGACAAUACAAAGGUAGAAUAAAUAUUUGGAACGUUAAUUAAGCAAGAAAGGGAAGAAUGAUUAUUUCUUAAAAUUGAGGAUAGUUUAAAUUUUGAAGUAAAAUUAAGUGUAAAUAAAUUCAAACCCUUUUAAUAUAAUAGAUGUGAGUGUCCAAUUUUCGUGUCUUUUUUCCCCUCAUUCCAAAAUUAUCAAUAAAAUGGAAAAAUUAUUGGUUUAUUCAAGUUAUUAAAUUUUAAUAUUUUAAGUUAUCAUCCUGAAAGUAAUUUUACUUUUUGUAUGAUAAAUAAAUUGUCUAUUUUAAAUUAUUAGAUGUUAGAUUUGUAUAUGUAUAUUUAAUUUGAUUAUAAAUAAUAGAUAUUUAAAAUAAUUUCUCUCUAUAAAAUAAUUUGAUAUUAAAACUACAUUUGACACUUUUUCUUUUUCAUAAUUUGAUUAAAAAAGCAUUUUUCAAAUGAAUUAGUUAAAUAUAAAUUGUUCUUACAAAAAAUAUUUUUUAAAAAACUAUUUUAAAAAGUAUUUAUAAAAAAAUAAGCAGUUUUUAGAAGUAAUGUUAAACAGACUUUUAUAAUCAACUCUCUUUAGAAGAAAAAAAAACCUUUUAUACAUGUUUUCUUACUCUUGAACACCUCCUUCGCUCUUUCUAACAACGUCCUUAAAUAAUAUAGCAAGUCACAUUUCAUUUUUAAUUGUUUCAGUUAUACUUUUUAACUGAUGAUUCAAAGAAGUAUAGAAUUCAUCAUAAAAUAUAGCAGGGUAGUUGCUUUUCUUGUGUCUAUUACAAUUAUCAGUUCAAGGAUAGAUUAUAAAUAAACUUUAAUAAGUUGUUAAGAGUAAUAACAUUGGUAUUGAAAAAAAGUCGAGGGUAAAAACUGGAGUUUAUAUGUAGCUUUUUCUACUUUCUUGUAAUAUUUUUAAUGGUUUUGACAAAGAAGUGGGACAUGAUAUUUAAUUAAGAUAUGCUGAACUUAUAUAAAUGUUUUUUUGUCAUUGUUAGAAUAAAUUAAUGCUUUUAAAAAAAUGCUCAAAUUCAUUUUCAAACCAUUACAAGAUUCCAACUCCUAAUUCCAUAAUAGAUGUUUUCUUAAGAAGUUCAAUGAACUUACGUGGACAAGGACAAUAUUUUAAUUUGUUUCUAAUUUUUUUCUCACACUUUUUUCUUCAAAGCUUUAUUACUUAAAAUGGACAGAACAAUUAUAUAUAUAUAAGUUACUUUGUUGAGAAAAUGACAUAAAUAGUCCCUCAAUUAUAGGUCUAAAACGGUCCCUAAAUUUUAUACUUAAUGAAUUCAGUCCUUCUUCAAUUAAUUAAAAAUUUGUUAAUUUAAUUUUUUAACUAUACACUUAUCGAUUUUAUUCUCUUAACUAUAAAUUUAAAAAUUUUAAUCCUUUAAAUAUUUAAAAACUUAUUAAGUUUGAUCUUUGUCCGUUUUUAAAUAUAAAUAACUUAGGUUUUUAUAUUAACAGAAUCUACGCCUCGAGAAACUAAAUCAUUUAGCAACUUUUUCUGGUGGUUCUAUCUCCGUUACUUUUUCUUCAAAUUAACCUUAUGCGAAGAAGCUUAACCUCAACGAUUUAAAAUAAAAUUUAUGAAUAAAGAAAAUAUGAGUCAUAAUUUUAUUCAACAGAGCAUAAAAUGAAGCAUAUUAUUAUUACUAAUGACUUGAAUAUGUUAAACUUUAUUAUAAAAAGAAAAAAAUUAAUAUCCGUUAAAUCCAAAGUUUGUACUCCAACGAUUUCAUUGAACUAGAUUUGUUUAAAUUUUUCAGAAAUGAUAAUUUAUAAAAUGAUAGAUUUUAUUUUUUAGAAUAUUUUUUUAAAUAGAUCAAUUUUAUUAUUCAAUUCCUUUUAUUUUACAUAAAGAAAUUAGAGUAAAUUACAUAAAAUUCGGACUGAUUAGCAUAAUGCAUGAUGAGUUUCUCGAACAAAACUAUCAAAGUUUAGGAUGGUGCGUACUAAAAACCAAAGAUAUUUGUAUUUUAAAAAAUGGACAAAAAUCAAACUAUUGUGAAUAUUUAAAAAAUUAAAAUCGGUAAACUUAUAGUUAAGAAAUUAAAAUUGAUAAGUGUAUAGUUAACAGAUCAUUUUUAGAUCUACUCAUAUAGUUAAGGGACUAUUUAUGUCAUUUACUCUUACUGUCUUUAUUUUAAUUUAUGCACUCAUCAAUUUAAUAUAAUUUUUUCAUAUUAUAAAUUUUUAAUUAUUUUAAUUUAUAUUAUAUUUAUAUAAUUUUUAAAUAAUAUAUAUUAUUUCCUUUGUACAAUUUAUAUAACAGCAAUAAAAUUUCAAGAACUAACCAAAAAUCAUAUUUGAAAUAGUUCAAAUUGUUAACUAUUACAAUUUUUAUAUUAGUUUUUGUAUUAUUUUCAAAUAAUAUAUGUUACUUUUUAUCAUUCAAUUUUAGAUAAUAAAACUUUGAAAGUUAAUUGUUUUUUUCUCUCAAAUAUUUUAAAUUAUUAAUUUAUAAUUUUUUUUGUAUAUUUUUCAAUUUAAUCGUAAGACUUAUAAAAAUAUAAACAAACUAAAACAAAAAUAUAUAAAAUUUCCAUAAAUACCAUCGACUAGAGAUUUGAGCUUCUAGACUCUUCUAUCUAGUAGUACCCUCUAUCUUGUUCAUUUUUAUUUGUCAUAUUGCGUUUUUUGAAAAUGAACUCACUAAUUUUUAAAAUUAAAUUAUAUUACAAUAAUUCAAUAUUUUAUGCAAAAACUUUAAAUGUUCAAAAAUGAUACAUAAAAUACUAUAAAUUAAAAUUUUUUGCAGAUCAAUAUGAUAAAAAAAAAUACAUUACAAAAUGUUAGUCAAUUUUUUUAUUGCUAUAAUAAAGAAAAGGAAAGUAUGACAAUUAAGAAAGAACAAAGAUAAUAUUAAAACAAAGUACUCCAUAAAAGAAAGUAUGACAAUUAAGAAUGAACAAAGAUAAUAUUAAAACAAAGUACUCCAUAUAUAUAUAUAUAUAUAUAUAUAUAUAUAUAUAUAUAUAUAUAGUUAAAAUACAUGCACCAAACAUUAUAAGGUAAAUCCAAGAUUUAGAAAAGCAUAAACAACAGCACAAGACAACAAACACUAAUACUAUUACAAUUGCAUGCUAAGGCACGCAACUUAUUAUUAUUAUCAUCAUAUGUACUCUCUAAUCUCUAUUACUACUAUUACUACUACUACACCCAAAAGCUAAUUAAUAAACUACUCAGCCAUAAAAUACUCCCGAAAUAACACUUUGAUCAUGUUCAGUAGAACUGAUGAUGAGUUGAAGCAAAGUCCUCCAUCAGAAAAACAUUAAGAGGAUCAGAAUCGACGAUCCCUGAAAAUUGAUCAGAUGGCUCCAAUUCCAGGAACGAUUCCAAAUUGGAAAUCUGUUCCUUCAGUUCAUAAUCUUCACUAACUAUGGGCAUUUCCAUGGGGUAGUAGGGAGUUUGGCUCUGAUACUGGACAUCAUAUCCAAAGUUCAUCAAAGGAGAGUUGUCAGAACUCUC
Molecule: long non-coding RNA, 21524 nt
Filed under: Solanum lycopersicum (tomato)
Lineage: Eukaryota; Viridiplantae; Streptophyta; Magnoliopsida; Solanales; Solanaceae
Description: long non-coding RNA (SLYC_LNC000190)
Source: RNAcentral